AGCGUAGACGGCACAGCAAGUCUGAUGUGAAAGGCAGGGGCUUAACCCCUGGACUGCAUUGGAAACUGCUGUGCUUGAGUGCCGGAGGGGUAAGCGGAAUUCCUAGUGUAGCGGUGAAAUGCGUAGAUAUUAGGAGGAACACCAGUGGCGAAGGCGGCUUACUGGACGGUAACUGACGUUGAGGCUCGAAAGCGUGGGGAGCAAACA
This 207-nucleotide ribosomal RNA is filed under the name uncultured bacterium. RNAcentral describes it as "partial 16S ribosomal RNA". It matches the Rfam family "Bacterial small subunit ribosomal RNA", at positions 568 to 774 of the family's 1533-position model. The record is from RNAcentral.